CCUACGGGAGGCAGCAGUGGGGGAUAUUGCACAAUGGGGGAAACCCUGAUGCAGCGACGCCGCGUGAGUGAAGAAGUAUUUCGGUAUGUAAAGCUCUAUCAGCAGGGAAGAAGAUGACAGUACCUGACCAAGAAGCCCCGGCUAACUACGUGCCAGCAGCCGCGGUAAUACGUAGGGGGCAAGCGUUAUCCGGAUUUACUGGGUGUAAAGGGAGCGUAGGUGGCAUGGCAAGCCAGAAGUGAAAACCCGGGGCUUAACCCCGCGGAUUGCUUUUGGAACUGUCAGGCUGGAGUGCAGGAGGGGCAGGCGGAAUUCCUGGUGUAGCGGUGAAAUGCGUAGAUAUCAGGAGGAACACCGGUGGCGAAGGCGGCCUGCUGGACUGUAACUGACACUGAGGCUCGAAAGCGUGGGGAGCAAACAGGAUUAGAUACCCGGGUAGUC
RNAcentral lists this ribosomal RNA (441 nucleotides) under uncultured bacterium. RNAcentral describes it as "partial 16S ribosomal RNA". It matches the Rfam family "Bacterial small subunit ribosomal RNA", at positions 338 to 795 of the family's 1533-position model. The record is from RNAcentral.